This 525-nucleotide long non-coding RNA is filed under the name Cyanistes caeruleus (blue tit). RNAcentral's name for it is "lncRNA (ENSCCEG00000015742.1)". Lineage: Eukaryota; Metazoa; Chordata; Aves; Passeriformes; Paridae. The record is from RNAcentral.
CAACAGAUAUUAGUUUACCUCCAGAUGUGAUGUCUUCAGUCUGCUGUCAGUAAUGCAGUAAUCUCCAAAUGAAGCCUUUGAAAUUGGCUCUCCUUCAGGAUCCUAGUUUAGAAGAGCCCUUGAUUUCUGUUUUAGAAACUUGAGAGACAAGGCCCUUAAAUGAAGCAGCUCUGCUGCUACUGACCCUUCUCCAGGAGCUCUAGCCCUUGGAUGCUGCUCCCUGAGACACACAACUUUACUACCUUUGAGAGGCAGGGAGGAAGGAUGGGAUGCAGAAGCACUAAUGAAUUGCAGGAUGGCACCAGAGGACACAGAUCAGCACGUACCAGCUUGGAUCGGCUUCUCUCCGACAGGAAACUGUGCAUGGGAGCUCUGGAGAAGGACAGACCAUGGAACCAAUAGAUGAGUGGGGUCAUAACCAGGCAUGCCACAAAUAGCAGCAGCUGUAGGAGCUUGCUGCUCCAGCUAGAUCAAAAGGAAUAGAGGAGGCUUGCAAUAAAUUGUGCAAUAAAGUGUAAUGGUGCA